Molecule: long non-coding RNA, 441 nt
Organism: Oncorhynchus keta (chum salmon)
Lineage: Eukaryota; Metazoa; Chordata; Actinopteri; Salmoniformes; Salmonidae
Exons: 3
Source: RefSeq, a predicted model, not a curated record
UGAUGGAGUCCAGGUGAGUGUCAUGAGACAGAGUCAAUAACACCUGAGGAAAGAACCAGUGGGGAGGUGACAGAUACAGGGAAGAUAAUCAAGGAGGUGAUGGAGUCCAGGUUAGUGUCAUGAGACAGAGUCAAUAACACCUGAGUAAAGAACCAGUGGGGAGGUGACAGAUACAGGGAAGAUAAUCAAGGAGGUGAUGGAGUCCAGGUGAGUGUCAUGAGACAGAGUCAAUAACACCUGAGGAAAGAACCAGUGGGGAGGUGACAGAUACAGGGAAGAUAAUCAAGGAGGUGAUGGAGUCCAGGCAGGAUGAAGAAAUAUGUUUAAAGUUGCCCAGAGAAACAGACGUCCUGAGGCACACAUGGAGAGGCGGGAUGUUGCUUAGCUAGGAGCUGGUUUAGUGAAGUUGCCCAAAGAAACAGACAUCCCGAGGCACAUAGG